AUUUGUCACUUAGCUCAAUGUUUCCCAACCUUUUAGAUACCAGAGACUGUCUUGCUGCCUUCCUAAAUUUUGUCAGGGAAAUCUCAG
Chelonoidis abingdonii (Abingdon island giant tortoise) is the source of this 87-nucleotide non-coding RNA. NCBI's taxonomy places the organism in Eukaryota, Metazoa, Chordata, Testudines, Testudinidae. The record is from RefSeq and is a predicted model, not a curated record.